GGAUGCAUGGUGGUAGCCAUCUCACGAGGAAGCAAAGUUAAGAGUUUACCAGGUUACGGUGAUCUCCCUUUCACACUUGAAACUGGAUACAUUGGUGCAGGGGAGAAAGAGGAGGUGCAGCUUUUCUACUACUUUGUUAAGUCUGAAAAUAAGCCCAAGGAAGAUCCUGUUGUCCUCUGGAUCAAUGGAGGCCCUGGUUGCUCUAGUCUUGGGGCUUUUUUCUUUGAAAAUGGUCCAUUAUCAAUAGACAUUGACAACUACAAAGAAGGCUUACCCACACUUCUUCUAAAUGAACAUUCAUGGACAAAGGGCCUUAAUAUAAUAUUUUUAGAUGCACCUAUUGGGACUGGAUUCUCUUACUCAAAAACCACACAAGGUUACAAUACAAGUGACUCUAAGUCUGCAGCAAAUACUCAUGAAUUUAUACAGAAGUGGUUUAAGGAACAUCCUUCAUUUUUGGAGAAUCCACUCUACCUUUCUGGUGAAGGCUAUUCUGGAAAACACAUCCCAGUAGUAAUACAAAAGAUUUUAACCAGUAAUGAAGCUGGAAUUAAGCCUAUCAUCAAUGUUAAGGGUUAUGCAAUGGGAAACCCUGGAACAGAUUCAGUUAUUGAUUCCAAUUCAAGGAUUCCUAUAGCUCACCG
This 644-nucleotide unclassified non-coding RNA is filed under the name Hevea brasiliensis (rubber tree). The record is from RNAcentral. Lineage: Eukaryota; Viridiplantae; Streptophyta; Magnoliopsida; Malpighiales; Euphorbiaceae.